This 878-nucleotide ribosomal RNA is filed under the name uncultured fungus. Its description in RNAcentral is "eukaryotic LSU rRNA". The stretch from base 449 to 878 matches the Rfam family "Eukaryotic large subunit ribosomal RNA", at positions 1 to 429 of the family's 3401-position model. The record is from RNAcentral. Lineage: Eukaryota; Fungi.
UCCGAGGUGAACCUGCGGAGGGAUCAUUAACACUGUUUGAGUUGCCUUGUGCAAUUCACUUAAACCACGUGAACUUAUUGGUACUGUGGGAUGCAAAUCUCACAAUUUUUUAAAUACUUAAAUUUGUACUGAAUUUUUUAAAUAAAUUUUAAAAACUUUCAACAAUGGAUGUCUUGGCUCUCGCAACGAUGAAGAACGCAGCAAAGUGCGAUAAUUAAUGUGAAUCGCAAGACUCAGUGAAUCAUCAAAAUUUUGAACGCAAAUGGCGCCUUGUAAGAAUUCUUACAAGGCAUGUCUGUUUGAGUGUCGUUAAAGUAUCAACUUUGCAAAAUACUGCAAAGAAAUUUGAACCUCACUUUGUGUGGUUUGGAAGAAAUGCAUUUAAACUUGUGCUAAAUUAAUCAAGUUAUACAAAUGCUUCGUGUCUUGGCACAAUAUUUUUGAACUUUGACAUCAAAUCAGACAAGAUUACCCACUGAAUUUAAGCAUAUUAAUAAGCGGAGGAAAAGAAACUAACAAGGAUUCCCUCAGUAACGGCGAGUGAACAGGGAAAAGCUCAAGCUUAAAAUCCAAGAUCUUUGGUUUUGGAAUUGUAGCCUAUAGAAAUACAAGCUUAUUUCUAGGGACAGGUUUAAUCGCAUAUGAACGGCGAGCCAGAGAGGGUGACAGCCCCGUAUUUGGCCUGUGAUCUAGUUAUAAUUGUAUCUUCUUCGAGUCGAGCUGUUUGAGAUUGCAGCUCUAAAUGGGUGGUAAACUCCAUCUAAAGCUAAAUAUGGGCGAGAGACCGAUAGUAAACAAGUACUGUGAAGGAAAGAUGAAAAGCGCCUUGAAAAGGGGUGAAAAGUGCCUGAAAUUGUUGAAAGGGAAACGCUUGAAGU